GCGGGUAUAGCUCAGUGGUACAGCGCAUGCUUAACACACUUGAGAUCCGGGGUUCAAUCCCCAGUACUUCCA
This 72-nucleotide transfer RNA is filed under the name Camelus bactrianus (Bactrian camel). It matches the Rfam family "tRNA". Rfam says of the family: Transfer RNA (tRNA) molecules are approximately 80 nucleotides in length. Their secondary structure includes four short double-helical elements and three loops (D, anti-codon, and T loops). Lineage: Eukaryota; Metazoa; Chordata; Mammalia; Artiodactyla; Camelidae. The record is from Rfam by way of RNAcentral. RNAcentral also lists the same sequence under 1 other name.